Molecule: unclassified non-coding RNA, 4669 nt
Filed under: Chelonus insularis
Lineage: Eukaryota; Metazoa; Arthropoda; Insecta; Hymenoptera; Braconidae
Description: multidrug resistance-associated protein 4-like, transcript variant X3
Source: RNAcentral
AUUAUUGUAGCUUUUGAGCUUGAUAUGAAUCCAAUAAAAGCAAAGAUCCAACAUAUCCAUAUCAAGUUAUGAUGACAUCAACAGAAUGGAUCCAAGAAAUCAGACGUUCCUUAGCUCAACGCACGAGUUAACAUAUCCAAGGUUUGCUCGACUUAUUAUUUAAUUAUUCCAAUAUCCGGUUUUACACAGGUGUAAUGUUAUAUUCUACGAUAUAUUCAAUGAUGACGAUAUAAAAAUUUAAAUAUAAAAUUAUAUAAAACGUCUAUACACUUCACUAAUAGCCUUUAUUGUUAGUAAGAAAGUCUGUGAGAGCACAAUAAAAAUUAUAAGAUAUUAUUUAGUUUUAUUAUUGAAUAAAUAAAAAAUAUGACUCAACAAAAUUUCAUCACAUCCAGUUUAAGUUGUUUUAUGAAGAUGAAGAACAAAAUGGCAAAUAAAAAGAAAAAAACUCCUGUCGACGAUGCUAAUCCUAUAAGCAAAUUAUUUUUUUGGUGGACAAUGAAAUUAUUUAUAAAAGGAUCUAAAAGAGGUCUAACAAUGGAUGAUAUAUGGCCACCAAUGGCAAGUGAUGAAUCAGAACAAUUAACGAACAAAUUAGAAACGAAUUGGAACGAAGAGUUAAGACAAUGUACAGAGAAGAAUAAAAUACGUCAAGAGAACACAGCCAAAAAAUAUAAACCAUUAAAACCGAGUCUCACAAAAGCUAUAUUCAAAACAUUCUGGCUUCGUUACUUUAUUAUCGGAAUAUUCUCACUUAUUCAAACAGCAGUUCUACGGAAUUUUCAGCCUAUAUUUCAAAGUUUAGUUGUUGAAUAUUUCAACGAAAAUGAUAAUAAUCCGAUGACACAAAAUGAAGUAUUGGGUUAUGCUGCUGGUCUUGUUGUUAUAACGUUUGCAGCGACGUUUAUAUUACAUCAUGCUUUUUUAGACAGUCAACAAAUUGGAAUGAGGGUCAGAGUUGCUUGUAGUUCACUUAUUUAUCGAAAGAGCUUGAAACUGAGUAAAGCGUCACUAGACAACACAGCAGCUGGUCAAGUAGUAAAUCUAAUAGGCAAUGAUGUACUUCGAUUUGAUCUGAUAUUUCUAUACCUUAAUUACAUAUGGAUUAUGCCCAUCCAGUUAGUUGUAGUUGGAUACAUCAUGUGGCAAAGCAUCAGAAUCUAUUCCCUAGUAGCCCUAGGAAGUCUUAUCAUCCUGACUAUUCCAGUCCAAACCUAUCUCUCAAAAAUAAGUGGCAACUUACGUGCUCUGAUAGCCAGGCUAACUGAUAGAAGAGUCCAAUUGAUGAGUGAACUAAUAGCUGGUAUCCAAGUGGUAAAGAUGUAUGCAUGGGAGAAACCAUUCAGCAAGAUAGUAUCUCAAACAAGGAAACUAGAGAUGGACAAGAUUCAUAAAUCGUCAAAUAUUCGUGGAUUUUAUACUUCAUUAUUUGUGAUAACUGAAAGAUUUACAUUAUUUUUAACUGUUGUUUCAUUUAUUGCUGCUGGGAAUUCAAUGACUGCUGAUAUUGUUUUUCAACUUUCAAGUUAUUUUAAUAUUCUACAAAUGGUGAUGGCCAUUUUUUUCCCUCUUGCUAUUAUUCUGGCUAGAGAAGCUUGGAUUUCUAUCAAAAGAAUCGAGGAGUUCUUGUUACUUGAUGAAAUAAAAAAAACCAUUGAAGAUCCAAAAAAAGUAAUCAAAUCAAUUAAACCUUAUCAAUUAAAGUCAGCCAAUACCACCACAUCAAAUGCAGUUUACAUUGAAUUAAAUCGAGUCUCAGCAAAUUGGAUAAGUGGCCAACUACCAGCAACACUCAAUGACGUAUCAUUAAAAAUAAAAAAGGGAGAACUAUGUGGUCUAGUGGGACCAGUUGGUUCUGGUAAAUCAUCACUACUAAACCUACUUCUUCAAGAACUUCCAGUUGGCUCUGGAGUAGUUGGACUAUUUCAACACAGUAAUGAACAAGAUAUUGAUUUACAAUCAAAGCGAGGGUUUUUCCAGGAUAAUUCUGGACUCAAGAUAUCAUAUGCUAGUCAAGAUCCUUGGCUUUUCACUGCUACAGUACGAGAGAAUAUUCUUUUUGGGCAGGAUUAUGAUCAAGUACGAUACCAAGAGGUAACAAAAGCAUGUUCUCUGAUAAGAGAUUUAAAACAAUUUCCUAAUGGAGAUAUGACAAUAGUUGGUGAAAGAGGAGCAUCAUUAUCGGGCGGACAGAGAGCAAGGAUCAAUCUAGCUAGAGCUAUCUACCGACAAGCUGAUGUUUAUCUUCUUGAUGAUCCCCUGAGUGCUGUGGAUGCUAAAGUAGCAAGACGUUUGUUCAAAGACUGUAUUCUCAAAUAUCUCAGUGGAAAAACUAGAAUUGUAGCUACUCAUCAGAUCCAUCAUCUUAAAAAGGCUGACAUUAUUGCUGUCAUGGAUAGAGGAAUGAUUAGAGCGCAAGGAAACUUUGAAAUCUUAACAAAAACCAGUGUAGAAUUCAAUGACAUGCUGAAUCGUCUGAAAGAUGAAGAAAAAGAUGACGAAGAUGUAGAAGUGAAUGAGUUUAAUGACAAAGAACAGUUUCAGGAGAAAAACUACUUUUUUAGAAGGAUAUCAACCAGAAAUUCUAGAGUUUCUGUCAGAUCUCAAGAUAGUUAUCAAUUUAUGACAUUCGAAGAAUCAUCCAAAGCAGAACAAGAAGCUCAAGAUAGUAUAGAAUCUGAACCCAUGGAAACUGGAAAGAUCUCCAAUAAAGUCUACUUCAAGUAUUUCAGAUCAGGUGAAAGUGUUAUUAGUCUCAUCUGCUUCAUUUCUAUUUACGUGAUAUCCCAGGUAGCAACUAGUGGAGCUGACUAUUGGUUAACAUAUUGGACCAACUUGGAGUCAAUAAAAACUUGUCUGAACAACUCCCAGCGAGCUUGCAAAUAUACCAAAAGCCAAUAUGAUGCACUAGUCAAUACUCCAUUAUUCACAUCACUACCGUUUCUUGAUGAAAAGGGGUACCUACAUACAACCCAUGCUAUUUAUAUUUAUACAGUUUGUAUAGUCACUUGUAUUAUUUCCAUUAUAUGGAGAAGUUUGUACUUUAUGAGAAUCUGCACCAACGCCAGUCAAAAUCUUCAUGAUAACAUGUUUAUUAAUAUUCUUCAGACUACGAUGUAUUUUUUCAAUACUAAUCCGUCAGGAAGAAUUUUAAAUCGAUUUUCAAAAGAUACAGGAACAAUGGAUGAAAUAUUGUCACGUGCAAUGUUAGAAGGAGUUCAAAUAUUUGCAGUGAUGACAGGAAUUUUAAUAUUAAUUAUCGUCGUUAAUGUAUGGAUGAUAAUACCAAUACUAAUUAUAGGGAUAUUCUUUUUUAUUUCACGUGAUUAUUAUUUACGUACUGCUCAAGAUAUCAAAAGAUUGGAAGGAAUUGCAAAAAGUCCAGUAUUUUCGCACAUAACAGCAACCCUAAAUGGUUUAACAACAGUUCGAAGUAGUGGUCAUGAAGUAGAAGUGAUGUUACGUAAAAGAUUCGACCAGUUCCAAGAUGCUCAUUCAGGAGCUUGGUACUUACUCAUAGCAACCUCAACUGCCUUUGGAUUCGCUGUGGACAUUGUUUCAUGUAUAUUUGUAUGCUGUGUUUGCUUUUCACUUAUUAGUAUUGGUCCUGAAAAUAUGACUGGAGCUGCUGUUGGUCUAGCAAUAUCUCAAGCUUUAAUUUUAACAGGAAUGGUUCAAUAUGGAGUAAAACAAAGUACUGAAGUGCAAGCUCAAAUGACGAGUGUCGAAAGAAUAUUAGAAUACACUAAUUUACCUAAAGAAGAUUCGGGAAAUACUCAACCAGCACCAGAAAGUUGGCCUUCUGAAGGAAGAAUUGAAUUUAAAAGUGUCUUUCUGAGCUAUAAAAAAGAUGAUCCGGCAGUAUUAAAGGACAUAAACUUGGUGAUAGAAUCAGGCUGGAAAGUAGGAGUCGUAGGUAGAACAGGCGCAGGAAAAUCAUCACUAAUAACAGCUCUAUUUCGUCUGGCGAAUGAUGGACUAGUUGGAAAAAUAAUAAUAGAUGGUGUUGAUACGAAAGAUAUUAAUUUAGAUGAUCUCAGGUCAAAUUUAUCAAUAAUACCUCAGGAACCAGUUCUAUUCUCUGAAACUCUACGUUAUAAUCUUGAUCCUUUCGGCAAAUAUACCGAUGAUGUGAUAUGGGAUGCACUUAAAGAAGUUGAACUGAGUGAUUUAAUUCUUGAUCAAAAGGUCACUGAAGGUGGUACCAAUUUUAGUGUUGGUCAGAGACAGUUAAUUUGUCUUGCUAGAGCUUUGUUGAGGAAUAAUAAGAUUUUAGUACUUGAUGAAGCUACUGCUAAUAUUGAUUCACGUUUUUUAGAUAUGAGUAGAUCAAAUGAGAUCUAAAAAAUGGCAAAAAUGUGGAUCUGUGCAGAUAUAUUCUAUUUUUUCGCGGCUAGUAAUAAUAUCAACACUGCAAAUCCAAGUGUUUGCAAAUAUUAAACAGCAUAAAUGAACUAUGGAAAUUUUUGAUUAUAAGUAUAAGCAUCAACUUAUAAGAUUUAUAAGUUUGAUUAUGGUGAUCAACAUUGUAAACAUUUAGGACUGAUGCUUUAAUUCAAAGAGCAAUUCGUUCUAAAUUCAGUAAUUAUACAGUAAUUACAGUAGCACAUCGAUUAAAUACUAUCAUUGACAGUGAUCGCGUUUUAGUGAUGGAUGAUGGUCGUGUGAA